Spermophilus dauricus (Daurian ground squirrel) is the source of this 82-nucleotide small nuclear RNA. The record is from Ensembl. Lineage: Eukaryota; Metazoa; Chordata; Mammalia; Rodentia; Sciuridae.
GUGUUUGCUUUGGUAGCACAUAUACUAGAAAUGGCCCCUGCACAAGGAUGACAUGCAAAUUUGUGACGCAUUCCAUAUUUUU